AAAUGAAGACUAGAACAAAAGAUUUAAUAUUUAAAUUUACUUAUUUCAUUCAAAUCAUUUUAAUUUUUUUUAAAUGUAAAAAAACAUUUAUUUACAAGAAAGACGACAAGACCCUAUUGAACUUAACUUUAGUUUUACUGGGGCAGUAAAUUAAUUAUUAUUUUAAACAAAUAAUAUAAAUAAAAAUCCAAAAUAAUUUGAAUAAUUCAGUUACCAUAGGGAUAACAGCGCAAUUAUAUUUUUAAGUUCUUAUAUAAAAAAUAGAUUACGACCUCGAUGUUGAAUUAAUAUUCUAAUUAAGGUAACCCUUAAAAAAGAGAGUCUGUUCGACUUUUAAAUAAUUACAUGAUUUGAGUUCAGACCGGUGUAAACCAGGUCGGUUUCUAUCUUCUAAAAAUACUUUUACAGUACGAAAGGACCUAAAAAUUUAAUCACAUUACUAAAUUGGCAGAUAAAUGCAUUAGAAUUAGAAUCUAAUAAAGAUUAU
RNAcentral lists this ribosomal RNA (487 nucleotides) under Chapoda peckhami. Its description in RNAcentral is "partial 16S ribosomal RNA". The stretch from base 97 to 392 matches the Rfam family "Bacterial large subunit ribosomal RNA", at positions 2074 to 2646 of the family's 2925-position model. Lineage: Eukaryota; Metazoa; Arthropoda; Arachnida; Araneae; Salticidae. The record is from RNAcentral.